GACCGCCUGGGGAGUACGGCCGCAAGGUUAAAACUCAAAUGAAUUGACGGGGGCCCGCACAAGCGGUGGAGCAUGUGGUUUAAUUCGAUGCAACGCGAAGAACCUUACCUGGUCUUGACAUCCACAGAACUUUCCAGAGAUGGAUUGGUGCCUUCGGGAACUGUGAGACAGGUGCUGCAUGGCUGUCGUCAGCUCGUGUUGUGAAAUGUUGGGUUAAGUCCCGCAACGAGCGCAACCCUUAUCCUUUGUUGCCAGCGAUUAGGUCGGGAACUCAAAGGAGACUGCCAGUGAUAAACUGGAGGAAGGUGGGGAUGACGUCAAGUCAUCAUGGCCCUUACGACCAGGGCUACACACGUGCUACAAUGGCGCAUACAAAGAGAAGCGACCUCGCGAGAGCAAGCGGACCUCAUAAAGUGCGUCGUAGUCCGGAUUGGAGUCUGCAACUCGACUCCAUGAAGUCGGAAUCGCUAGUAAUCGUGGAUCAGAAUGCCACGGUGAAUACGUUCCCGGGCCUUGUACACACCGCCCGUCACACCAUGGGAGUGGGUUGCAAAAGAAGUAGGUAGCUUAACCUUCGGGAGGGCGCUUACCACUUUGUGAUUCAUGACUGGGGUGAAGUCGUAACAAGGUAACCGUAGGGGAACCUGCGGUUG
This 653-nucleotide ribosomal RNA is filed under the name Salmonella enterica subsp. enterica serovar Muenchen. Its description in RNAcentral is "bacterial SSU rRNA". It matches the Rfam family "Bacterial small subunit ribosomal RNA", at positions 867 to 1520 of the family's 1533-position model. RNAcentral also lists the same sequence under 6 other names. Lineage: Bacteria; Pseudomonadati; Pseudomonadota; Gammaproteobacteria; Enterobacterales; Enterobacteriaceae. The record is from RNAcentral.